GGGUUUUUUAUUUUAUACUUCAAAUCUUGAAUUUAUUUUUUAUGUUUUUUAAAUGUUUAUUUUUUUGAAUGUUUGAUUUAAAAAAAUAUAAAAAAUAAAAUAGAUAUUGACAUGGAUUAAACAAAGAUAUAUAUUAUUCUAUGUUGCAUAAACAAAUUGGCAAAGUAG
Molecule: unclassified non-coding RNA, 168 nt
Filed under: [Borrelia] lusitaniae
Lineage: Bacteria; Pseudomonadati; Spirochaetota; Spirochaetia; Spirochaetales; Borreliaceae
Description: Borreliella lusitaniae partial 5S-23S ribosomal RNA intergenic spacer
Source: RNAcentral